AAAGGAACGCUAAUACCGCAUACGUCCUACGGGAGAAAGCGGGGGACCUUCGGGCCUUGCGCUAUCAGAUGAGCCUAGGUCGGAUUAGCUAGUUGGUGAGGUAAUGGCUCACCAAGGCGACGAUCCGUAACUGGUCUGAGAGGAUGAUCAGUCACACUGGAACUGAGACACGGUCCAGACUCCUACGGGAGGCAGCAGCC
RNAcentral lists this ribosomal RNA (200 nucleotides) under uncultured Pseudomonas sp. RNAcentral describes it as "partial 16S ribosomal RNA". It matches the Rfam family "Bacterial small subunit ribosomal RNA", at positions 154 to 355 of the family's 1533-position model. Lineage: Bacteria; Pseudomonadati; Pseudomonadota; Gammaproteobacteria; Pseudomonadales; Pseudomonadaceae. The record is from RNAcentral.